This 65-nucleotide transfer RNA is filed under the name Orthonychiurus folsomi. RNAcentral's name for it is "tRNA-His". The record is from RNAcentral. Lineage: Eukaryota; Metazoa; Arthropoda; Collembola; Poduromorpha; Onychiuridae.
AUUUAGGUAGUUUAAAAAAAAAAAUAAAAGUUUGUGGAACUUUAGAAGAAUUAUUUCCCUUAGUA